GAACCCCGCCAGGCCCGGAAGGGAGCAACGGUAGUAGUAUAAUUGUGUGCCGGGGUGUGGCUGG
RNAcentral lists this non-coding RNA (64 nucleotides) under Saccharophagus degradans 2-40. Lineage: Bacteria; Pseudomonadati; Pseudomonadota; Gammaproteobacteria; Cellvibrionales; Cellvibrionaceae. The record is from RNAcentral.